This 253-nucleotide ribosomal RNA is filed under the name uncultured bacterium. RNAcentral's name for it is "partial 16S ribosomal RNA". It matches the Rfam family "Bacterial small subunit ribosomal RNA", at positions 524 to 776 of the family's 1533-position model. The record is from RNAcentral.
UACAUGUGGGGCAAGCGUUGUUCGGAAUUACUGGGCAUAAAGGGUGCGUAGGUGGUUUGUUAAGUCAGGGGUGAAAUCCCGCGGCCCAACCGUGGAACUGCCUUUGAUACUGGCGAACUUGAGUGCGUGAGGGGUAGGGGGAACGAGCAGUGUAGCGGUGAAAUGCGUAGAUAUUGCUCGGAAGGCCAGAGCCGAAGGGGCCCUACUGGUGCGUAACUGACACUGAGGCACGAAAGCGUGGGGAGCAAACAGG